RNAcentral lists this ribosomal RNA (1070 nucleotides) under bacterium. RNAcentral's name for it is "bacterial SSU rRNA". It matches the Rfam family "Bacterial small subunit ribosomal RNA", at positions 384 to 1475 of the family's 1533-position model. The record is from RNAcentral.
UGAAUCAGUCAUGCUGCGUGCAGAAUGACUGCCCUAUCGGCUGUAACCUGCUUUGUCAGCAUAGCUAGAUACGUGUAUUCUGCUGAAUGUACUGGAGAUACGAAUCGCCUACUCGUGCCAGCAGCGCGGUACUACGGAGGAUCCGAGCGUUAUCCGGAUUUAUUGGGUUUAAAGGGGUGCGUAGGCCGACCUGUUAGUCAGGGGUGAAAUACGUGGCUCACCAUCGGCAGUGCCUUUGAUACUGACCGGGCUUGGAUUCCAUUUGGAUGUGGCGAAUAAGACAUAGUAGGCGUGGAGAUGCAUAGAUACGGUGUAGAAUUCGGAUGCGAAAGCCACUCCAUUAAGCGGGAAUGACGCUGAAGCCACAAAGCGUUGGGGUUGAACCAGGAUUGAUAACCCGGUUAUUCCCGCCCUAAACCGAUAUAACUUGAUUGUGGCGAUUGACCAGCAAGCUUCCCAGGGAAAGCGUAAGUUAUUCCCCUGGGGGAGUCGCCCCCCAAGGUUGAAAUCAAAAGAAAUGGCGGGGGCCCCCCCCAAGCGGAGGACCUUUGGGUUAAAUUGGAGAUUCCCGGAGAACCUUUCCCGGGGCUGAAAAGUUAGGAAGGAAGGCAGAGAGCCUUCGUUCUUUGGGGCCAGGAAAUUGGUUGUGCCAGGGCGUUGUUCAGUUCGUCCCGGGGGGUGUGGGGUUAAUUCCGCCAACGAGGCCAACCCUUUUGUUUAUUUCCCACCAUUUAAGGUGGGGACUCUAAACAGACUGCCUGCGCAAGCAGAGAGGAAGGUGGGGACGACGUCAAGUCAUCAUGGCCCUUACGUCCGGGGCUACACACGUGCUACAAUGGAUGGUACAGCGGGCAGCUACAUAGCAAUAUGAUGCUAAUCUCUAAAAGCCAUUCACAGUUCGGAUUGGGGUCUGCAACUCGACCCCAUGAAGUUGGAUUCGCUAGUAAUCGCGUAUCAGCAAUGACGCGGUGAAUACGUUCCCGGGCCUUGUACACACCGCCCGUCAAGCCAUGAAAGUUGGGGGUACCUAAAGCAUGUUACCGCAAGGAGCGUGUAGGUAAGCCCAUGUU